This 362-nucleotide transfer-messenger RNA is filed under the name Gemmatimonadaceae. RNAcentral describes it as "PNKF01 sp019694735 Standard tmRNA". It matches the Rfam family "transfer-messenger RNA". From Rfam's summary of the family: Bacterial tmRNA, also known as 10Sa RNA or SsrA, is named for its dual tRNA and mRNA-like properties. The record is from RNAcentral. RNAcentral also lists the same sequence under 1 other name. Lineage: Bacteria; Pseudomonadati; Gemmatimonadota; Gemmatimonadia; Gemmatimonadales.
GGGGGCGACCGGUUUCGAUUGUGUCGGUGGCUCCGUGGUUGCGCGCCCAGGUCCUCGGGUCCCUGGUGAAACACUCGGGAAAACGUUACCUGCGAACAACAACUUCGCGCUUGCUGCGUAAGGCUUAGGCUUUACCCCAGCAGUGCCAGGGAGGUAGCCCCGCCCGGGGCGGCACCCUGGUAUCGAAAAUCCGGGCUGGCUCUCUGGCGCGCCCUCCGCCCCUGAGCGAGAUCGAGAUGGGAUCAUCCGUGCGACGGCGGCCUGCCGGCCAGCGCCCGGAAACAUCAAUCGGCGGGAUACGCGCGUAGACGCUGCGGAAGAUCUGGUGCAAGACGAGGGUUCGAAUCCCUCCGCCUCCACUC